AGUAACGCGUGAGGAACCUGCCUCAAAGAGGGGGACAACAGUUGAAACGACUGCUAAUACCGCAUAAGCCCACGGCUCGGCAUCGAGCAGAGGGAAAAGGAGCAAUCCGCUUUGAGAUGGCCUCGCGUCCGAUUAGCUAGUUGGUGAGGUAACGGCCCACCAAGGCGACGAUCGGUAGCCGGACUGAGAGGUUGAACGGCCACAUUGGGACUGAGACACGGCCCAG
Molecule: ribosomal RNA, 226 nt
Filed under: uncultured bacterium
Lineage: Bacteria
Description: partial 16S ribosomal RNA
Rfam family: Bacterial small subunit ribosomal RNA
Source: RNAcentral